UACGUAGGGUGCAAGCGUUUAAUCGGAAUUACUGGGCGUAAAGCGUGCGCAGGCGGUUGUGCAAGACAGAUGUGAAAUCCCCGGGCUUAACCUGGGAACUGCAUUUGUGACUGCAUCGCUGGAGUGCGGCAGAGGGGGAUGGAAUUCCGCGUGUAGCAGUGAAAUGCGUAGAUAUGCGGAGGAACACCGAUGGCGAAGGCAAUCCCCUGGGCCUGCACUGACGCUCAUGCACGAAAGCGUGGGGAGCAAACAGG
This 254-nucleotide ribosomal RNA is filed under the name uncultured bacterium. Its description in RNAcentral is "partial 16S ribosomal RNA". It matches the Rfam family "Bacterial small subunit ribosomal RNA", at positions 524 to 776 of the family's 1533-position model. The record is from RNAcentral.